Molecule: non-coding RNA, 299 nt
Organism: Otolemur garnettii (small-eared galago)
Lineage: Eukaryota; Metazoa; Chordata; Mammalia; Primates; Galagidae
Source: Rfam
GCUGGACGCUGUGGUGCGCACCUGUAGUCCCAGCUACUUGGGAGGCUGAGACAGGUGGACCACUUGAGUCCAAGAGUUCUGGGCUGUAGUGUGCUAUGCCAAUCGGGUGUCUGCACUAAGUUUGGCAUCAAUAUGAUGACCUCCCAGGAGCAGGGGGCCACCAGAUUGCCUAAGGAGGGGUGAACUGUCCCAGGUCGGAAAGGGAGCAGGUCAUACUCCCAUGCCGAUCAGUAGUGGGAUGGUGCCUAUGGAUGGCCACUACACUCCAACCUGGACAACAUAGUGAGACCCCAUGUCUU